CCGGGCCUGGCCUUGUGUGUGAUUUUCAAAGUACAGGAAAUUUCUGGAAGUCAGGAGAAUGGGUGCUGACACAAACAGAGGGCAAAAGGGACUGGAUCUUAAUCAUCUUUUUGUUCCCAGAACCUGACACGCAGGGGCAGGCAUGACUGUCCUUCAUCAUCUUCAUCACCGCUGCUGUUCAUUAAGCAUUCAUUACGUGGCAGGCAAUGUCAACCAAGAUCUUGUGAGUGCCACCUGGCAGAUGAGGAAACUGAGGCACAGAGAGGCAAUGUUACUUGACCAAGGUCACACCUGGGCAGCCUGUUUGUGAAAUGAACCCGUGAACCUAUGCCAGCCCCCGCUUGGUGGAAAUCAGCCAGCAACCGAAAAUGCUUCCAACUUCACGCAGCCCUUCUUGUUGGGGUGGUGACAUUCAGGAUAUCAAUGGCCAUCCGCAAGCAGAACAAGGCCAUUCCGAUUGGGUGCGCUACCUGGGGUGUGUGUGUGAGUGAAUCAGGUAUGCAGCUGGUGGUGAUUCACAGAUUGCUGUGUAAGGAUCCUGAGUAGGAGACACAAGAGAGAAGAAGCUUCCUUUCUCUGUCUCUCUCAGUUGCACAUGUGACCUGUGGCUCCAUCCUCGGUGAGAUGAGUCCCACUUCAAACUUACGUAGCCAACAAACAAGCGAACAAAAACAGGCUACAGAGAAGGAUUUCCUAUCAGUUUUCCUGGAAUCACCAGGAACAUGUUUCAGAUUCUUUACAAAAUCCCCGGAUGUAGUCACCUGUCCGGGACAUGCCAUCAGGAAAGGGAGGUCCACCUUUGGGUCAGGGGCAUGCAGGGAGCUGGGGAGGCUGGCAGCCCCAGAGCCUCUCGAUU
Molecule: long non-coding RNA, 856 nt
Filed under: Homo sapiens (human)
Lineage: Eukaryota; Metazoa; Chordata; Mammalia; Primates; Hominidae
Description: HSALNT0277820
Source: RNAcentral